This 402-nucleotide ribosomal RNA is filed under the name uncultured bacterium. RNAcentral's name for it is "bacterial SSU rRNA". It matches the Rfam family "Bacterial small subunit ribosomal RNA", at positions 355 to 774 of the family's 1533-position model. The record is from RNAcentral.
UGGGGAAUCUUGCACAAUGGGGGAAACCCUGAUGCAGCGACGCCGCGUGAACGAUGAAGCCCUUCGGGGUGUAAAGUUCUUUCGACAGGAACGAUAAUGACGGUACCUGGAGAAGAAGCUGCGGCUAACUACGUGCCAGCAGCCGCGGUAAUACGUAGGCAGCGAGCGUUGUUCGGAGUUACCGGGCGUAAAGAGUGCGUAGGCGGCGAGCCGAGUUUGGUGUGAAAUCUCCCGGCUUAACCGGGAGGGUGCGCCGAAAACUGGUUGGCUGGAGUAUGGGAGAGGAAAGCGGAAUUCCUGGUGUAGCGGUGAAAUGCGUAGAUAUCAGGAGGAACACCGGCGGUGUAGACGGCUUGCUAGACCAUAACUGACGCUGAGGCACGAAAGCGUGGGUAGCAAACA